AAGUCGUAAACAGGUUUCCGUAGCUGUAGACCGUACACUCGGGCAGGAGCUUUGCCAAAGGGUCCCCAUGCCCCCUAAUAACCCCACAGUUUAAUGUGAAGCUCAAUGUAAUACAUUGGGUAAAAAAACCGAACAACUGUUAACAAUGGAUAUCUUGGUUCUC
RNAcentral lists this unclassified non-coding RNA (163 nucleotides) under fungal sp. Its description in RNAcentral is "partial internal transcribed spacer region". Lineage: Eukaryota; Fungi. The record is from RNAcentral.